AACCAUGCAAGUCUAAGGUAUAAGCCAACUAUGACUGUGAACUGCGAAUGGCUCAUCAAAUCAGUUAUCGUUUAUUUGAUAGUACCUUACUACUUGGAUAACCGUGGUAAUUCUAGAGCUAAUACAUGCACAAAACCUCGACUUCGGAAGGGGUGUAUUUAUUAGAUAAAAAACCAAUGCCCUUCGGGGCUCUCUGGUGAUUCAUAAUAACUAAACGAAUCGCAUGCCUUGCGCUGGCGAUGGUUCAUUCAAAUUUCUGCCCUAUCAACUUUCGAUUGUUAAGUAGUGGUUAACAAUGGUUUCAACGGGUAACGGGGAAUUAGGGUUCGACUCCGGAGAGGGAGCCUGAGAAACGGCUACCACAUCCAAGGAAGGCAGCAGGCGCGCAAAUUACCCAAUCCCGACACGGGGAGGUAGUGACAAUAAAUACUGAUACAGGGCUCUUUUGGGUCUUGUAAUUGGAAUGAGUCACAUUUUAAAUCCCUUAACGAGGAACAAUUGGAGGGCAAGUCUGGUGCCAACAGCCGCGGUAAUUCCAGCUCCAAUAGCGUAUAUUAAAGUUGUUGCAGUUAAAAAGCUCGUAGUUGAACCUUGGGCCUGGUGGCCGGUCCGCCUCACCGCGUGCACUGGUCCGGCCGGGCCUUUCCUUCUGGGGAUCCGCAUGCCCUUCACUGGGUGUGCCGGGGAACCAGGACUUUUACUUUGAAAAAAUUAGAGUGUUCAAAGCAGGCCUUUGCUCGGAUACAUUAGCAUGGAAUAAUAGAAUAGGACGGCUUUCCUAUUUUGUUGGUUUCUAGGGGAGCCGUAAUGAUUAAUAGGGAUAGUCGGGGGCAUCAGUAUUCAAUUGUCAGAGGUGAAAUUCUUGGAUUUAUUGAAGACUAACUACUGCGAAAGCAUUUGCCAAGGAUGUUUUCAUUAAUCAGUGAACGAAAGUUAGGGGAUCGAAGACGAUCAGAUACCGUCGUAGUCUUAACCAUAAACUAUGCCGACUAGGGAUCGGGCGAUGUUACUAUCUGACUCGCU
RNAcentral lists this ribosomal RNA (1023 nucleotides) under Hiogispora japonica. RNAcentral's name for it is "SSU rRNA". It matches the Rfam family "Eukaryotic small subunit ribosomal RNA", at positions 47 to 1080 of the family's 1831-position model. The record is from RNAcentral. Lineage: Eukaryota; Fungi; Ascomycota; Dothideomycetes; Pleosporales.